ACUUAAAUUGAAGAGUUUGAUCAUGGCUCAGAUUGAACGCUGGCGGCAGGCCUAACACAUGCAAGUCGAGCGGUAGCACAGAGAGCUUGCUCUCGGGUGACGAGCGGCGGACGGGUGAGUAAUGUCUGGGAAACUGCCUGAUGGAGGGGGAUAACUACUGGAAACGGUAGCUAAUACCGCAUAAUGUCGCAAGACCAAAGUGGGGGACCUUCGGGCCUCAUGCCAUCAGAUGUGCCCAGAUGGGAUUAGCUAGUAGGUGGGGUAACGGCUCACCUAGGCGACGAUCCCUAGCUG
RNAcentral lists this ribosomal RNA (294 nucleotides) under Klebsiella pneumoniae. Its description in RNAcentral is "partial 16S ribosomal RNA". It matches the Rfam family "Bacterial small subunit ribosomal RNA", at positions 1 to 289 of the family's 1533-position model. Lineage: Bacteria; Pseudomonadati; Pseudomonadota; Gammaproteobacteria; Enterobacterales; Enterobacteriaceae. The record is from RNAcentral.